RNAcentral lists this ribosomal RNA (253 nucleotides) under uncultured bacterium. Its description in RNAcentral is "partial 16S ribosomal RNA". It matches the Rfam family "Bacterial small subunit ribosomal RNA", at positions 524 to 776 of the family's 1533-position model. The record is from RNAcentral.
UACGAGGGGGGCAAGCGUUGUUCGGAAUUAUUGGGCGUAAAGGGCGCGUAGGCGGCGCCACAAGUCACUUGUGAAAUCUCUGGGCUCAACUCAGAGCCUGCAAGCGAAACUGUGGUGCUGGAGUAUGGGAGAGGUGCGUGGAAUUCCCGGUGUAGCGGUGAAAUGCGUAGAUAUGUGGAAGAACACCUGUGGCGAAAGCGGUUUUCUAGCUUACCCCUGACGCUGAGGCACGAAAGCUAGGGGAGCAAACAGG